This 305-nucleotide ribosomal RNA is filed under the name Lactiplantibacillus plantarum. Its description in RNAcentral is "bacterial SSU rRNA". It matches the Rfam family "Bacterial small subunit ribosomal RNA", at positions 931 to 1237 of the family's 1533-position model. The record is from RNAcentral. Lineage: Bacteria; Bacillati; Bacillota; Bacilli; Lactobacillales; Lactobacillaceae.
GGUGGAGCAUGUGGUUUAAUUCGAAGCUACGCGAAGAACCUUACCAGGUCUUGACAUCUUGCGCUAACCUAAGAGAUUAGGCGUUCCCUUCGGGGACGCAAUGACAGGUGGUGCAUGGUCGUCGUCAGCUCGUGUCGUGAGAUGUUGGGUUAAGUCCCGCAACGAGCGCAACCCUUGUUACUAGUUGCCAGCAUUUAGUUGGGCACUCUAGUGAGACUGCCGGUGACAAACCGGAGGAAGGUGGGGACGACGUCAGAUCAUCAUGCCCCUUAUGACCUGGGCUACACACGUGCUACAAUGGACGG